Molecule: ribosomal RNA, 460 nt
Filed under: uncultured bacterium
Lineage: Bacteria
Description: partial 16S ribosomal RNA
Rfam family: Bacterial small subunit ribosomal RNA
Source: RNAcentral
CCUACGGGAGGCAGCAGUGAGGAAUAUUGGUCAAUGGGCGCUAGCCUGAACCAGCCAAGUAGCGUGAAGGAUGACUGCCCUAUGGGUUGUAAACUUCUUUUAUAUAGGAAUAAAGUGCAGCAUGUAUACUGCUUUGCAUGUACCUUAUGAAUAAGGAUUGGCUAACUCCGUGCCAGCAGCCGCGGUAAUACGGAGGAUCCGAGCGUUAUCCGGAUUUAUUGGGUUUAAAGGGAGCGUAGACGGGUUGUUAAGUCAGUUGUGAAAGUUUGCGGCUCAACCGUAAAAUUGCAGUUGAUACUGGCAGCCUUGAGUACAGUAGAGGUAGGCGGAAUUCGUGGUGUAGCGGUGAAAUGCUUAGAUAUCACGAAGAACUCCGAUUGCGAAGGCAGCCUGCUGAACUGUAACUGACGCUGAUGCUCGAAAGUGUGGGUAUCAAACAGGAUUAGAUACCCGAGUAGUC